GUUCCAUAGCAACGCGUAGACAUUUGUUUGUUGUGAAUGUUCAAAAUUGUUUUUUGUUUCUUUCCUAUGCAAUCCAUUUGCUAAUUUUUAUUUGUUUCAGGCGAUCGAGCAAAUAUUUUAAAAUGGAAUUACUAGCAAGCAGGAGUAGUUGGAAAUCCGUUCUCGGGAAGCCCGUAAUCUGUAAAGCGACUCCGCCCUACUGAAGGUGGACCGGAGCUUCAUUUGAUUGUACAAAUCUGUAUCGACUUGUAGAAAUCCGAUUGAUCGAAAUGAAAAAUACAACAAAUUGUUAAACUUUGA
Molecule: long non-coding RNA, 300 nt
Filed under: Aedes aegypti (yellow fever mosquito)
Lineage: Eukaryota; Metazoa; Arthropoda; Insecta; Diptera; Culicidae
Description: lncRNA AAEL020801
Source: RNAcentral